UCCUGGCUGUUGUACACUGAACAAAAUAAUAAACGCAACACUUUUGUUUUUUCCCCCAUUUCUCAUGAGCUGAACUCAAAGAUCUAAGACUAUUUCUAUGUACACAAAAGGCCUAUUUCUCUCAAAUUUUGUUCACAAAUCUGUCUAAAUCUGUGUUAAUGAGCACUUCUCCUUUGCCGAGAUAAUCCAUCCACCUCAUAGGUGUGGCAUAUCAAGAUGCUGAAUAGAUAGCAUGAUUAUUGCUCAGGUGUGCCUUAUGCUGGCCACAAUAAAAGGCCACUCUAAAAUGUGCAGUUUUACUGUAUUGGGGGGUCUGGGGAGGGUGGGGUCCGAAAACCAGUCAGUAUCUGGUGUGACCACCAUUCGCCUCAAGCAGUGCAACACAUCUCCUUCAAAUAGGAUUGUUGGUCCACUCCUCUUCAAUGGCUGUGCAAAGCUGCUGGAUAUUGGUAGGAACUGGAACAUGCUGUCGCAUAUGCCGAUCCAGAGCAUCCCAAACAUGCUCAAUGGGUGACAUGUCCGGUGAGUAUGCUGGGUAUGCAAGAACUGGGAUGUUUUCAGCUUCAAGGAAUUGUGAACAGAUCCUUGCAACAUGGGGUGAUGGUCAUGGAUCAAUGGCACAACAAUGGGCUUCAGGAUCUCGUCAUGGUAUCUCUGUGCAUUCAAAAUGGCAUCAAUAAAAUGCACCUGUAUUCAUUGUCCAUAACAUAUGCCUGCCCAUACCAUAACCCCACUGCCACCAUGGGCCACUCUAUCCACAACAUUGACAUCAGCAAACCUCUCACCCACACAACGCCAUACAUGCUCUCUGCCAUCUGCUCUUUACAGUGAAAACCGGGAUUCAUCCGUGAAGAGAACACCUCUCCAGAGUGCCAGAUGCCAUCGAAUGUGAGCAUGUGCUCACUCAAGUCGGUUACGACGACAAACUGCAGUCAGGUCGAGACCCCGAUGAGGACGACGAGCAUGCAGAUGAGCUUCCCUGAGACGGUUUCUGACAGUUUGUGCAGAAAUUCUUUGGUUAUGCAAACCGAUUGUUGCAGCAGCUGUCUGGGUGGCUGGUCUUAGACGAUCUUGGAGGUGAAGAUGCUGGAUGUGGAGGGCCAGGGCUGGUGUGGUUACUCAUGGUCUGUGAUUGUAAGGCCGGUUGGAUGUACUGCCAAAUUCUCUGAAACGCCUUUGGAGACGGCUUAUGGUUGAGAAAUGAACAUUCAAUUCACGGGCAACAGCUCUGGUGGACAUUCCUGCAGUCAGCAUGCCAAUUGCACGCUCCCUCAAAACUUGCGACAUCUGUGGCAUUGUGUGGUGUGAUAAAACUGCACAUUUUAGAGUGGCCUUUUAUUGUGGCCAGCCUAAGGCACACCUGUGCAAUAAUCAUGCUGUCUAAUCAGCAUCUUGAUAUGCCACACCUGUGAGAAGGAUCGAUUAUUGACAGAUUUGUGAACAAUAUUUGAGAAAAAUAGGCCUUUUGUGUACAUAGAAAAAGUCUUAGAUCUUUGAGUUCAGCUCAUGAGAAAUGGGGUCAAAAACAAAAGUGUUGCGUUUAUAAUUUUGUUCAGUGUAAUAUCAGCACCAGGUAAGAUUAAUCACAUUCAUUUCUGCACUCAGUUACAUAAAAAAACAUAGCUAUGAGUACUGUGCUAGACUAACUGAGACUUGUCAUGGCACUUGUAUACUGUUGUUGUUCUCUCAUUGGUCUGAUUGCUUUUAUUGUUCUCAUUUGAAAGUCGCUUUGGAUAAAAGCGUCUGCUAAAUGAUUAAAUGUAAAUGUAAUUACAUAAUGUUUUAAUUACAUAACGUAACCUUUAUAAAAAUUAAACAUGGGUUUACUACAAAUAAAUAAAACAAUAAAAUACUUAAACUAAAGUAACCAAACAUUAACAUGGUUUUGCUAUACUAGCCAUUUAGCUUCACCAUGGUAUUUGUAGUAAAACAGUGAUUAUACUAAUGGUAAUCAAUCCGAAUUAUUAUACGCAAUGCACGCAUACAGAGUGCGUGAUUGUGACGCCCAGAUGUACAAAACAGACCCUCCCACCUCUGUAAUAAACACGGAUAUGUUAGUCCCAACCGAAUUGGUACAUGAAAAUCGCAGACGUCAGAUGGUAAGAAUCGAAACUCACACAUAGUUUAUAAAACUAGUCCCGUCCGAAUAGGGCUUUUGAAAUAGAAAUCUUUUGUAACAUUAUAAAAGCCUUUACUGUCAAUUUAAUGCAUCCUUUCUGAAUAAAUUAUCUGACCCCAAACUUUUGAAUGGUAGUGCACGUUUGUAAUAUCUACCUAAAGAUAAAACCAUAGGUGGAAAUGUUUUUGAGAAUUUUCACCAGGUAAAUCCUGCGAUUCCAGCCAUCAUGUAAAUUACGGUGAACAGAAAAAAUGUAACAUACAAC
Cyprinus carpio carpio is the source of this 2384-nucleotide long non-coding RNA. The record is from Ensembl. Lineage: Eukaryota; Metazoa; Chordata; Actinopteri; Cypriniformes; Cyprinidae.